Molecule: long non-coding RNA, 1448 nt
Organism: Clupea harengus (Atlantic herring)
Lineage: Eukaryota; Metazoa; Chordata; Actinopteri; Clupeiformes; Clupeidae
Source: Ensembl
CGCAGCGCAAAAACCUAAUCUGAACAGGAGUACUCAGGAAGGCGACAAGUGCUACCAGGCAGACUAUAACAACUCCCUGGUAUUAUCAUCUUCAGGAUCAGCAUCAAAUAUUACAUCUCAUCCAGUGGUUUCCUGUGUGGGUAUGUCUUCUACAGUAGCCAGUGACAGGCUUCUGUUGAUGGGGAUUGUGUGUUAGGAGGCUCGGAGCUCGGAGCGGAUGAUGUCUGGCCGUGACACAUGGGCGCAAUCAUUGUGUAACUCAAGAUGUACACAGACAGAUGGUUUAAGGAUUUAUUAUUCGUUCUGUGUGUGUGUGUGUGUGUGUGUGUGUGUGUGUGUCUGUGUGUGUCCGUCCCCUGGGACGCAGUUAUUUUCAAACAGCUGAUUCCUGUCAUUGACUCUAAAGCCUCUGAUAAUCAGCUGGUAAAACUCCCACUCAAGAGACUGCCUCAAAAAAUACUAUAAUAAAAACUGUUUUUUUCCCCCUUCAAAAUGGCAAUAUAAUAUAACAAUGUCCUGAGAAUAUAUUUGACCAUAAUAACAUUUUUGAAGGUGUCUCACUCACAUCUACCACAACUUACUUAUUAGAAAACAAUGAAUGAAUUUCAAACAGUUUCUUAAUGAAUAAAAAAAACCUGCUCUUACCGAAGCUGAGGAUGUUUCUCUUUAGUGAUUUAGUCUUCUUUAGUGAAAUAUGUCCACGGCAGGUUUGUGAAGGUAAUAAUCCCACGGCACAGGAGGAGUCCAGUGUCCAGUGUCCAGUGUCCAGUGUCCAGUGUCCAGUGUCCAGCUGCGGUGGGCUCUCUGUCCUACUGGUCUUCCACAGACCUGUGAGAGUCCAGAGCAGAGUGAGAGUAAAUGAGGAUGUCCAGGGCUGCCCGCUGGACGCAGAGUUCAGUCCAGCCCCGAGCCCCAAGCACAAGCCCACUGUUUUCCUGUUAUUGUCCCUGCUGUCGCGGCUCUCUGUAGAGUCCACUGCUCACCUCCCCUCCCCUUCCCUUCUCCCUCUUUCUCCCUCUCUCUCUCUCUCUCUCUCUCUCAGUCACUCACUCUCGCGUCUCUUCACCGCCACCGACCAGGAAAUCAGAUAAGACCUGUCAGCCUUUCUGCUAAUUACAGCUGAGCACACCGCGGCAGUGGGCUGGACUCAGGAGAAACAAGCGAGUGUGUGUGUGUGUGUGCGUGUGUGAGAGAGAGAGAGAGACAGAGAAAGAGAGAGCGAGAGAGAGAGAGUGUGAAUGGGUGUGUGUGUGUGUGUGUGUGUGUGUGUGUGUUUGGGUGUAUGCUUGUGUAUGCAUGUGCAUGUGUGAGAGUGAGAGAAAGAGAGAGAGAGAAAGAGAGAGUGAGAGAAAGAGAGAGUAAGUGCAUUUGUAUCACAGCCACUCCUGUGGUUGCUGGGUGUUGAGAGGUAGGGUUCGCACAGAGAGAGGCAGCCACAUGUUACUUCA